UCCAGAUGAUCUAUGUCCCGU
This 21-nucleotide non-coding RNA is filed under the name Caenorhabditis elegans. Lineage: Eukaryota; Metazoa; Nematoda; Chromadorea; Rhabditida; Rhabditidae. The record is from RNAcentral.